RNAcentral lists this ribosomal RNA (273 nucleotides) under uncultured bacterium. Its description in RNAcentral is "partial 16S ribosomal RNA". It matches the Rfam family "Bacterial small subunit ribosomal RNA", at positions 523 to 796 of the family's 1533-position model. The record is from RNAcentral.
AUACGGAGGGUGCAAGCGUUACUCGGAAUCACUGGGCGUAAAGCGCAUGCAGGCGGUCAGAUAAGUUAGAAGUGAAAUCCUAUAGCUCAACUAUAGAACUGCUUCUAAAACUGUUUGACUAGAGUCUGGGAGGGAAGAUGGAGUUAGUAGUGUAGGGGUAAAAUCCGUAGAGAUUACUAGGAAUACCAAAAGCGAAGGCGAUCUUCUGGAACAGUACUGACGCUGAGAUGCGAAAGCGUGGGGAGCAAACAGGAUUAGAAACCCCAGUAGUCC